ACCCGCACAAGCGGUGGAUUAUGUGGAUUAAUUCGAUGCAACGCGAAAAACCUUACCUACCCUUGACAUGUCCUGAAGCCUGGAGAGAGUCCGGGUGUGCCCGAAAGGGAACGGGAACACAGGUGCUGCAUGGCUGUCGUCAGCUCGUGUCGUGAGAUGUUGGGUUAAGUCCCGCAACGAGCGCAACCCUUGUCAUUAGUUGCUACAUUUAGUUGGGCACUCUAAUGAGACUGCCGGUGACAAACCGGAGGAAGGUGGGGAUGACGUCAAGUCCUCAUGGCCCUUAUGGGUAGGGCUUCACACGUAAUACAAUGGCGCGUACAGAGGGUUGCCAAGCCGCGAGGUGGAGCCAAUCCCAGAAAGCGCGUCGUAGUCCGGAUUGCAGUCUGCAACUCGACUGCAUGAAGUCGGAAUCGCUAGUAAUCGCGGAUCAGCAUGUCGCGGUGAAUACGUUCCCGGGUCUU
Molecule: ribosomal RNA, 464 nt
Filed under: uncultured Nitrosomonadaceae bacterium
Lineage: Bacteria; Pseudomonadati; Pseudomonadota; Betaproteobacteria; Nitrosomonadales; Nitrosomonadaceae
Description: bacterial SSU rRNA
Rfam family: Bacterial small subunit ribosomal RNA
Source: RNAcentral